Molecule: transfer RNA, 85 nt
Filed under: Candidatus Pelethousia sp.
Lineage: Bacteria; Bacillati; Bacillota; Clostridia; Eubacteriales
Also listed under: 1 other name
Description: tRNA-Leu
Rfam family: tRNA
About the family: Transfer RNA (tRNA) molecules are approximately 80 nucleotides in length. Their secondary structure includes four short double-helical elements and three loops (D, anti-codon, and T loops). Further hydrogen bonds mediate the characteristic L-shaped molecular structure. tRNAs have two regions of fundamental functional importance: the anti-codon, which is responsible for specific mRNA codon recognition, and the 3' end, to which the tRNAs corresponding amino acid is attached (by aminoacyl-tRNA synthetases). tRNAs cope with the degeneracy of the genetic code in two manners: having more than one tRNA (with a specific anti-codon) for a particular amino acid; and 'wobble' base-pairing, i.e. permitting non-standard base-pairing at the 3rd anti-codon position.
Source: RNAcentral
GCGGGCGUGGCGGAAUUGGCAGACGCGCUGGAUUUAGGUUCCAGUACCGCGAGGUGUAUGAGUUCAAGUCUCUUCGCCCGCACCA